CCCCUUUUAGUCUGAAAAUUGAUAUCUCUUGUUCAUAUCAGACGAGUGUUUCGCCUUGAGAACGGAAAAAAAAAUACAAAAGCCAUGCUGCUCAAACUGGAAUAUAACGAUGACUAUUACGUGCACGCGUAUGUGGAUCUAGGAUUCCUGUACUGGAAUGCCAAAGAUAUCUUGACUCUCUUGCCUACGAACGUCUCGCAUACGACGAGUGUUCUCCAAGUCUUUUUCCUAAUCGACACCAUUUUCUUCGACUAGGCGAUUUGGACAACUACUCCAAAGAAUGGGGUCAACCGAACCAGAUUGUCCUCACUUCGAAUGAAGCGGCCUUCGUCGCUUCGAAAUCCCUGCAUAACAAGUCGCUCUUCCCUUGGA
Long non-coding RNA from Stegodyphus dumicola, 372 nucleotides. The record is from RefSeq and is a predicted model, not a curated record. Lineage: Eukaryota; Metazoa; Arthropoda; Arachnida; Araneae; Eresidae.